This 970-nucleotide ribosomal RNA is filed under the name Filifactor alocis. Its description in RNAcentral is "bacterial SSU rRNA". It matches the Rfam family "Bacterial small subunit ribosomal RNA", at positions 28 to 998 of the family's 1533-position model. Lineage: Bacteria; Bacillati; Bacillota; Clostridia; Peptostreptococcales; Filifactoraceae. The record is from RNAcentral.
GAUGAACGCUGGCGGCGUGCUUAACACAUGCAAGUCGAACGAACGACUAUUAACAGAACCUUUCGGGGCGAAGAUGAUAGAAGUUAGUGGCGGACGGGUGCGUAACGCGUGGGUAAUCUGCCUUUGUCAAAGGAAUAACUAUUCGAGAGAAUAGCUAAAACCGUAUAACAUAUUAAUAGGGCAUCCUAAUAAUAUCAAAACGAUAGUGGACAAAGAUGAGCCCGCGUCUGAUUAGCUAGUUGGUGAGAUAAAAGCCCACCAAGGCAACGAUCAGUAGCCGACCUGAGAGGGUGAACGGCCACAUUGGAACUGAGACACGGUUCAAACCCCUACGGGAGGCAGCAGUGGGGAAUAUUGCACAAUGGGGGGAACCCUGAUGCAGCAACGCCGCGUGAGUGAAGAAGGCAUUGCGUGUCGUAAAACUCUGUAGUAGGGGAAGAAGGAAAUGACAGUACCCUAAAAGAAAGCCCCGGCUAACUACGUGCCAGCAGCCGCGGUAAUACGUAGGGGGCAAGCGUUAUCCGGAAUAACUGGGCGUAAAGGGUGCGCAGGUGGUUUAACAAGUUAGUGGUGAAAGGCAUAGGCUCAACCAAUGUAAGCCAUUAAAACUGUUUAACUUGAGUGCAGGAGAGGAAAGUGGAAUUCCUAGUGUAGCGGUGAAAUGCGUAGAUAUUAGGAGGAAUACCAGUGGCGAAGGCGACUUUCUGGACUGCAACUGACACUGAGGCACGAAAGCGUGGGGAGCAAACAGGAUUAGAUACCCUGGUAGUCCACGCCGUAAACGAUGAGUACUAGGUGUCGGGUGAAGAACUCGGUGCCGAAGUUAACACAUUAAGUACUCCGCCUGGGGAGUACGCUCGCAAGAGUAAAACUCAAAGGAAUUGACGGGGACCCGCACAAGCAGCGGAGCAUGUGGUGUAAUUCGAAGCAAACGCGAAGAACCUACCUAAACUUGACAUACCAAUGACAG